RNAcentral lists this small nuclear RNA (106 nucleotides) under Panthera leo (lion). The record is from RNAcentral. Lineage: Eukaryota; Metazoa; Chordata; Mammalia; Carnivora; Felidae.
GUGCUCGCUUGGCAGCACAUAUACUAAAAUUGGAAUGAUACGGAAAGGAUUAGCAUGGCCCCUGCACAAGGAUGAAACGCAAAUUUGUGAAGGGUUCCGUAUUAAA